Molecule: ribosomal RNA, 465 nt
Filed under: uncultured bacterium
Lineage: Bacteria
Description: partial 16S ribosomal RNA
Rfam family: Bacterial small subunit ribosomal RNA
Source: RNAcentral
GACGAACGCUGGCGGCGUGCUUAACACAUGCAAGUCGAACGGAAAGGCCCCCUUGUGGGGUACUCGAGUGGCGAACGGGUGAGUAACACGUGAGUAACCUACCCUUGACUUUGGGAUAACUUCAGGAAACUGGGGCUAAUACCGGAUAGGAGCUCCUGCUGCAUGGUGGGGGUUGGAAAGUUUCGGCGGUUGGGGAUGGACUCGCGGCUUAUCAGCUUGUUGGUGGGGUAGUGGCUCACCAAGGCUUUGACGGGUAGCCGGCCUGAGAGGGUGACCGGCCACAUUGGGACUGAGAUACGGCCCAGACUCCUACGGGAGGCAGCAGUGUGGAAUAUUGCACAAUGGGUGGAAGCCUGAUGCAGCAACGCCGCGUGCGGGAUGACGGCCUUCGGGUUGUAAACCGCUUUCGCCUGUGACGAAGCGUGAGUGACGGUAAUGGGUAGAGAAGCACCGGCUAACUACGUG